AAAGGUGUACCUUUGUGGUAGAAUGCUUGCCUAACAUGCAUGAGGCCCUGGGUUCAAUCCCCAGCACCAUAA
RNAcentral lists this transfer RNA (72 nucleotides) under Heterocephalus glaber (naked mole-rat). It matches the Rfam family "tRNA". Rfam says of the family: Transfer RNA (tRNA) molecules are approximately 80 nucleotides in length. Their secondary structure includes four short double-helical elements and three loops (D, anti-codon, and T loops). Lineage: Eukaryota; Metazoa; Chordata; Mammalia; Rodentia; Bathyergidae. The record is from Rfam by way of RNAcentral.